UUGUUCUUCCUUCCAAUCCCCACAGUUCUUGCAGAAGCCAUUCCUUGCCAAAUUCAACAUUGGAUCUCCCUCGUUCACUCUCUCAUGUAAUUGAUCGAAAGACCAGAGGAAUUGAUCUGAAAUACCUGAAUUUCUUCUUCUUCUUCUUCUUCUUCUUCCUUCCAAGCCCCACAGUUCUUGUAGAAGCCAUUUGCUGUCAAAUUUAACAUUGGAUCUCCCUCGUUCCAUGUAAUUGAUCGAAAGACCAGAGGAAUUGAUCUGAAAUACCUGAGUUUCUUCUUCUUGAUUCCUUCCAAGCUCGAGCAAUUCCUGUUAGAUUUUCGAUUAACAAUCACAAGGUUGUUUCGAUUCUCCAGAUUUCGAUCAGAUGUCGAUAGUUGAGGAUGGCCGUAGCCUGGCAGGCUAUACUCUGGACGACGUUCUGGCUAACAAUAGAUUAGGGCCACCGGCCGCUUCACGGGCCGCUGAAAUCC
Molecule: long non-coding RNA, 473 nt
Organism: Cucurbita moschata (crookneck pumpkin)
Lineage: Eukaryota; Viridiplantae; Streptophyta; Magnoliopsida; Cucurbitales; Cucurbitaceae
Exons: 4
Source: RefSeq, a predicted model, not a curated record